This 315-nucleotide long non-coding RNA is filed under the name Actinidia chinensis (golden kiwifruit). Its description in RNAcentral is "long non-coding RNA (ACHI_LNC008665)". The record is from RNAcentral. Lineage: Eukaryota; Viridiplantae; Streptophyta; Magnoliopsida; Ericales; Actinidiaceae.
AAUUAAGAACAAACAGAACUAAGAAAUCAAGUGAAGAAACCUGUUUCUGCUUUACAACCAGUAGGUACAAAGUAUUUAAAUCAAGUGGGCUGAUUGCCCAGACGAAUUCAUAUGUAAUUUGUUUGGAAUGGUGAGGAGGUACAGACGAUAUACAAGAAAACAAAGCUAGUAAAAGUACUUAAAAAUUCCAAACCUGCAUCCAUUCAAGGCAAGCACGCUAAAGAACAAGUAUGCCACAAGCUCAUUGUAUGAUAACCAGGAUGCCUGACCCUAACCCACUUUAUGCUAGUAUAGACCCAAUUUCCAGCAUGGUAU